GGGGUCGUAGCUCAGUUGGAAGAGCACCUGCUUUGCACGCAGGGGGUCAGGAGUUCGAAUCUCCUCGGCUCCACCA
This 76-nucleotide transfer RNA is filed under the name Pelagicoccus sp. SDUM812003. Its description in RNAcentral is "tRNA-Ala". It matches the Rfam family "tRNA". Rfam says of the family: Transfer RNA (tRNA) molecules are approximately 80 nucleotides in length. Their secondary structure includes four short double-helical elements and three loops (D, anti-codon, and T loops). The record is from RNAcentral. Lineage: Bacteria; Pseudomonadati; Verrucomicrobiota; Opitutia; Puniceicoccales; Pelagicoccaceae.